AGGCUGGCGGGAGCGAGGAGAGCCGCAGGACGGAGGAGGAGGCGGCUGGCCGGCGGCACAGGAGAACAGCGGGCAGGGGAACUUCAGAAGAGGCUGCCAAAAAGGACUCGAGCCGCAGCAGUGUGAGGCAGUGGACAGCGGGGGCAGCAACCGCCAGCCCUUGGCAGCCAGCAGAGGGGAAGAGGAGCCCGCGGGAAAGAAAUGCAGGAGAGGUUGAGAAUAAAGGCUGCUCCAGGUGUGACAGCUACCUCGGUGAGGUGGAAGACGGAAUUGACAAGGCAAAUUUCAUGGACCUUAUAUCUGUGCUAGUCUAAUAAGCCUGACGAAACAGUUCCCCAUAUGGACUCAUCUGGGUACCUGUGGAUAUGUAAUCACUUCCUUGUCAGGUUGAAAUAGUUCUUCAGGUUGAAGAAGACAGAAGUGAAACAAAAUUUGAAUACUUCAUCUCUGUUGAUAGAUGACUUAAAUGAAAAUCACCCCUGAAGAGUAUGACUGUUUCCAUCUAUUGUAUUUUUCUUACUCUGAACAUAGCUUUAAAAAUCUCAAAUCAUAAUUUAAAAAAUCUCAAAUCUUUUUGUGUUUAAUAAAUGUAACUACAUUGUGAGCUUUGUUAUCAAGACAUCAUUAUUCCUUUUCAUUAUAUUUAAAAAA
Leptonychotes weddellii (Weddell seal) is the source of this 651-nucleotide non-coding RNA. The record is from RefSeq and is a predicted model, not a curated record. NCBI's taxonomy places the organism in Eukaryota, Metazoa, Chordata, Mammalia, Carnivora, Phocidae.